This 354-nucleotide transfer-messenger RNA is filed under the name Fidelibacterota bacterium. RNAcentral's name for it is "Candidatus Marinimicrobia bacterium transfer-messenger RNA". It matches the Rfam family "transfer-messenger RNA". From Rfam's summary of the family: Bacterial tmRNA, also known as 10Sa RNA or SsrA, is named for its dual tRNA and mRNA-like properties. Its role is to liberate the mRNA from a stalled ribosome. Lineage: Bacteria; Pseudomonadati; Fidelibacterota. The record is from RNAcentral.
GGGGGCGACCGGUUUCGAGGGGGUAUGAUAAUGGUAAAAUCGCAUGCAGAGGUCCCGGGAUCCUCUUAAAUAUCCCCGGACUAUCAAUAAAUGCCGAUUACGGCUAUAUGGCUGCAGCUUAAUUAGCUCUGCCCGUCCGGGAAAUGAAUUUGUCUAUGGUUUAAUCUAAGGGCGUCAUAAACAUGGACUGGUCCCUGCGAUUGCUUACAGCAAGGGGAUGAGAUACUUGGUAAGCUGGUUGACAGACUCAGUGAUAUCGGGUGGGACUUCAAUAAGACAAAAUCAGAUAACUAAGCAUGUAGACGUUUUAUUAGCAUCUGUCUCGGACGGGAGUUCGAAUCUCCCCGCCUCCAC